AUUGUAUUUUUUUUUUUUUUUUUUUUUUUUUUUUUUUUUUUUUUUUUUUUUUUUUUUAUGUUUUAAUAGUAAAAAAUUAAAAAAAAUUUUUUUUUUUUUUUUAAAUUUACUAUUAACUUUUGACAGAACGAAGUUUGUCCGGGCAGCUAGUUAUAAAUAAAUCUAAAGAGAAAUAUAUCUUUCUUAAUCAAAACAACAAUAAAUUAAUCAAAAGAGCACAACAUCUUAGUAGCAACGAAACGUAAAUAGAAGAUAAAAGUUAUGAUAAAAAUAAUAAUAAUAAUUUAAACAAAUGUUCGUAAUCUUAGGGCCACUUAGUUCCAUUAGAACCAGUGCAAUACAUCUGUAGUUGAAACAACAAACAUAACAAAAUUCCAAUUUAUUUAUAUUCAUAAUAACAUAACAUUUGUCUAUCGGUCGAACUAAAUCUCGUGAUGUAUGGAACGAGCGUAAGCAUUUGAUCUCGGCGGUUAAACUCAGAUAUUUACAAUAUACACAAACAAUUUAAUAAUAACAGUCUGUUUUCCAUUUUAAUAAAUUAUAAAAUAAAUUACAAAAUUACAAUUUUUAACCGACUUCAAAAAAAGGUUUCUCAAUUUGACCGUAUAUAUAUUUGUGUGUUCGCGGAUAAUUUCGACGUUUAUGAACAGAUUUUGAUAAUUAUUUUUUUUUGCUGGAAUGGAAAUAUCUCAAGGGUUGUGUCAAAAUAAGGAUACUAUGAUCUGAUGAUGGCAUCCCAGAGAAAUCGAAGGGGAAUCUUCGUAAAUCGUAGUGGCGACUAGUACGUCUGUUAAUUUUUUCACCUACUUAUACAUACAUUGUAUUACUUGUCGAUGUAAUUGAAAUCGAUUUUUUUCGUUUGCUAGCAAACACAAUUAUUUUAGGACAGCAAAUAAGCAUAUGAUCCGCUAUGCGCUAUGAAAGCAGUUACCGUAGCUAAUGGACACUUGCAACACCAGGUGCAUCAAAAGCGCUUUGCUAAGCCUACGCCCCACCCUCGUCUGGAACUCUGGCUGCCUUAUUCCCCACAGAAACAUAACACUAAUUGAGAACAGUAAUAUUUUAAUGUGACCUUGUCCAAGUUUGGGUAACUUCGUAAGACGCGCUGCUCCUAAUUCUGAGCAAGUUUUUAACCAGCUGCGCCUCAUAGAAUUUUUUUUUAUCGACUUUACGUGAAAAAUUAGAUGUUUUUUAAUGAAAAUGGACGCGGUGACAGUUUAAUCAUGUCAAUGUGUCACCACACCGUGUCUUGAUGACGCUGAAAUCAAGAUCAAAGAAGUUACCAGGGACAGUCCCUGGUAACACAUUUACAACAUUUUUUUUUAAUUUCAUGCUAGCGCUGUAUUGCACCGAUAUAAUGAUGCUGUCAAUCGAGGGUUCGUACCAGCUCAGCAGCUUACCAGCUAAACAUUUGUUUAACUUGCUGUGUUUAUUUUAUUUUUCCUGAUCCAGUUGUAUAAAAAAAAAGAAUGAGUAAAUUGAGUAUUGAAUAGAAUAGUGCAAGUUUUGUGAUAGUUUCGUGAGAAUAAUUGUGUUAGUUGUCAAACCGAAAAAAGGAUUUUAUUUUAAAUCGAAAAGUAACAAAAUACGGAAAUCGCCAACGUAUUUAGUUCAAAAAUUGUUUUUUUUUUUAUGUUACUAGGUCGGCAAACAAGCGUACGGCUCACCUGAUGGUAAGCGAUUGCCGUAGCUUAUAGACACCUGCAACACCAGAAGCAUCGCAAGCGCGUUGCCGACCCAAUCCCCAAUCCCCCCAGGAGCUCUGGUCACCUUACUCACCAACAGGAACACAAUACUGCUUGAAAACAGUAUUAUUUUGCUGUGGUCUUCUGUAAGGUCGAGGUACUACCCCAGUCGGGCUGCUCCAUAUUUUGAGCAGGAAAUUCCUGCUGUGCCCUACCUCAGUAAGUCAAUUAAAAACGCGUUUUUAGAUAUAUCUCCAAAAUUACUCGUCAGAUUUCGUCUAGAUUUUAAUGAAACCACACGACAAGCCCUAACUAUCGAAUACAAAAAAUCAUCAAAAUUGGUAUAGCCAACAGUUAUGAGGCAUGUGCCUCAUAAAAUACAAUCAAAUUGAGAACCUCUUCCUUUUUUAAGUAGGUUAAAAAUAAUCAUUAAUCAGCCUUGAAAACUUAAAUAGUAUUUUAUACCGUCUUUUUUAAACCCAAAUAAUUUUUAUGUAGUAAUUCUACAUCAAAUAUAUCCAUAAAAGAACAUCAAAGCAGUCAAUCUUUCCGAAUCACGUUUUUACUUUUGGCAGGUUUAUUAUAGUAAUAAAUUUAAGAUUACAAAUAAAAAUAAAGUCUUAAAUAAAUUUGCGUUUAAAUUAUAUGAAAAACUCUGUUCAUUAUAAAAACUUUUAAUUGAACUUUUGAGAGUAAUUUUAUCGGGGAAACCGACAUAAUGAAGGAAAAAAAACUGAUUACUUCAAUGAAAUACACCUCUAUAUAAUUUAAAUUGAAAAUUUAGAUUACAUUACCAAUAAUAUUUUACUAUAUAGACACAUAAUGACUGUAAAGCUUUUUACCUAAAUGCCUUCACGUUUUUUUUUUUUUUGGUAUCGUAGGGGAACCCAUUUACGGGUGAUAUCCAGGAUGCCCCGGUAGGCAUUCCUAGACCGUAUGUCGACUUCAGCACUUGGGGGUGCAAUACCGACCGAAACCCCUGCGGGAGCCUUCAGCCGCUUUAAUUGGAGGGUCCCGGAUCUGCAGGCAACAGGAUCCCUCCAGCGACAGGCUGGCCUCGGCGAAAAGGCCAGACUUCUCCUCCAUGGGGACUGUCCGGCUCACCUCUGAGCAAUCUCGACGACGCCAUGUCUAGCAGGACCGGGUUCCCAUCCCGGCCCGACAAGAGCACAGCGGUGUUACUGGAGACGUCAAUGUUACGAGCUUAAUAUCUGAAUAUAAUUGUCGCAAUCGAAAAAAAUCGACUUCAAUUACAUCGACAAGUAAUAGAAGUAAACGGAAAAAAAAAUUAACAAACAUACUAUAGUCGUCACUACGAUUUUCGAGGGUUUCCCUCGAUUUCUCUGGGACUCCAUCAUAAGAUCCUUAUUUCCUUAUCACGGUACCACACUUGGGAUAUCUCCUUUCCAAAAAAAAAUAAUUAUCAAAAUCGGUCCAUAAUCGGGGAAGUUAUCCGCGAACACGCAUAAAUAUGUAUAUAACCUCCUCCUUUUUUGAAAUAUGUAUAAAAGACAACCGAACUAUAGAAAUAAGUCAGGAUAAACAAAAUUUAAACCUAAUUAAUGUAUUAUUUAUUACACACCGCUUUAUCUAAAAAAUGGCUUUGAGUUUCUCUGUGACACUCAUGAGCGUUCCCUCAGGUCAUCUUCAACCUUAAUACUCACUCCUUCCCUUACUACUUCCUUUUAUUCAAACUCCUUUUCUGUUAAAGCUGUACAACUUUGGAACUCUCUUCCUCUCUCUAUAAGAAAAGCUCUCUUGCUUGUUUAAAAAUAUAUCUAAAGGCGCAUUUUUUGUCACUAAAUACCUCAUAAAUAUCAUUAGCAUCUCCAUAAAUAUAUAUAUUAUGUAGUAUUUUGUUUAUGUAGUAUAUAUGUAUGUAUAUGUAUAUUGUGUAUAUAUGUAUGUGUAUAUGUACUAUGUAUAUUUACUUCAUUCAAUCUCAUAUUGCUUGUUAAUUAUAUGGCAAUUCUUUAUCAACUGUUUGUACACUUCCCUACCGCUUCUCUUUUUCUACGUUAUGUCCUAUGCCCAAAGGUUGUCAAGGAGAAAUCGCUCUUAGCGAUAAGACCGCCUUUGUAAAUCUUUUUUUGCAUGCAUAACUUUUUUUUGUAAUGUUUCUUUGUGGUGUACAAUAAAUAUUAUUUAUUAUUAUUAUUUAUCGACACGGGUUCACUAUAAAACUCAUAUGAAUGAUUGAUGCCGCACAAACAACCAGUAAAAUAAACGUUUCAUUAUCAACGCCCUCUACGAUUUUCUUCUGCGUCCUGUGUUCGGAAAACACACAAUACACAUGCACAAACUCAUACACCUAUCCCAUAUAAAGUAAUUCUGCAGUUUAGAUUACUAAUAACUCCUUGUCAUUUCAAACAUUAAAAAAACAAAAAAUUGUAAUAAAAAAGGCACCAGUCAAUAAAUAAAUAAAAAAAAAAAAACAAAUAGACUGUGUAAAGUAACGUGUGUGUGUGUGUUUGAGAGAGAGUCUAUGUGGUUAUUUAAUAUGUAUAUUAUUUACAAACAAACAUAAACAAGCAAUUUCUAUACAUCUAAACUAUUACGCCACGCGGUUGUGUCCACUAUAUCUUACAAUACAGCGUCCAAUAGUAACGCUCUACUAGUUGGCAACGAUCUAGCCACGCCCCCUUGUACCGAGGUGAUUCACAUGAUGACGAAUUGACAAAUUCAAGAUGUUCGCGUUUCUAAUUUAUUUGUUAAAUCUUUAAAAACAAACAGUCCCAUUUUGAACAUUUGUCGUUUUCCUUACAAUAUAGGAAUCACAUAAGAACAAUAAAAAGCCUUA
Molecule: unclassified non-coding RNA, 4485 nt
Filed under: Melitaea cinxia (Glanville fritillary)
Lineage: Eukaryota; Metazoa; Arthropoda; Insecta; Lepidoptera; Nymphalidae
Description: misc RNA ENSMCXG00005016682.1
Source: RNAcentral